This 750-nucleotide ribosomal RNA is filed under the name uncultured bacterium. RNAcentral describes it as "bacterial SSU rRNA". It matches the Rfam family "Bacterial small subunit ribosomal RNA". The record is from RNAcentral.
GGCCUAACACAUGCAAGUCGAGCGCGCCCUUCGGCGUGAGGGGCGGACGGGAUAAAAACGCGUGCGAAUAUACCCUUUGGUACGGAAUAGCCUCUGGAAACGGAGAGAAAUACCGUAUGAGCCCUUCGGGGGAAAGAUUUAUCGCCAAAGGAUUAGCCCGCGUUAGAUUAGGUAGUUGGGGGGGUAAUGGCCUACCAAGCCUACUACCUAUAACUGGUUUUAGAGGAUGAUCAGCGCCACUGGGACUGAAACACGGCCCAGACUCCUACGGGAGGCAGCGGUGGGGAUCCUUGGAAAAUGGGGGCAACCCUGAUCCAGCCAGGCCGCGGGAGUGAUGAAGGCCUUAGGGUCGUAAGGCUCUUUCGCCAGAGAUGAUAAUGACCGUAUCUGGUAAGGAAACCCCGGCUAACUCCGUGCCAGCAGCCGCGGUAAUACGGAGGGGGUGAGCGUUGUCCGGAAUUAUUGGUCGAAAAGCGCGCGUAUGGGUAUUUUUAAAUUAGGGGCGAAUAUCGGGGUUCAACCCCGGAAAUGUAUUUGUAAAAGAUAAAAAGAUUCAUAGAUGAAGUGGAUUCAAGUGUAGAGAGAAAUUCAAGAUAUUAAACGAUAAACAAGCAAGGCAGCUACAUGGUCGAAAUGACAUAAACAUGUAAAAUUUGAGACGUAAAAAAAUAAAACCCUAAAAUACACACCAACAUAUAAGAUCACAAUCGACAAUACAUGCUAUAAGAGAAGCGAUUAGAUAUGAGUAUA